GAAAGGGACUGGAACGCUCAGGUGCGAAAGCGUGGGGAGCAAACAGGAUUARAUACCCUGGUAGUCCACGCCGUAAACGAUGUCGACUUGGAGGUUGUGCCCUUGAGGCGUGGCUUCCGGAGCUAACGCGUUAAGUCGACCGCCUGGGGAGUACGGCCGCAAGGUUAAAACUCAAAUGAAUUGACGGGGGCCCGCACAAGCGGUGGAGCAUGUGGUUUAAUUCGAUGCAACGCGAAGAACCUUACCUACUCUUGACAUCCAGAGAACUUAGCAGAGAUGCUUUGGUGCCUUCGGGAACUCUGAGACAGGUGCUGCAUGGCUGUCGUCAGCUCGUGUUGUGAAAUGUUGGGUUAAGUCCCGCAACGAGCGCAACCCUUAUCCUUUGUUGCCAGCGRUYCGGYCGGGAACUCAAAGGAGACUGCCAGUGAUAAACUGGAGGAAGGUGGGGAUGACGUCAAGUCAUCAUGGCCCUUACGAGUAGGGCUACACACGUGCUACAAUGGCAUAUACAAAGAGAAGCGACCUCGCGAGAGCAAGCGGACCUCAUAAAGUAUGUCGUAGUCCGGAUUGGAGUCUGCAACUCGACUCCAUGAAGUCGGAAUCGCUAGUAAUCGUAGAUCAGAAUGCUACGGUGAAUACGUUCCCGGGCCUUGUACACACCGCCCGUCACACCAUGGGAGUGGGUUGCAAAAGAAGUAGGUAGCUU
RNAcentral lists this ribosomal RNA (706 nucleotides) under Klebsiella aerogenes. Its description in RNAcentral is "bacterial SSU rRNA". It matches the Rfam family "Bacterial small subunit ribosomal RNA", at positions 730 to 1436 of the family's 1533-position model. Lineage: Bacteria; Pseudomonadati; Pseudomonadota; Gammaproteobacteria; Enterobacterales; Enterobacteriaceae. The record is from RNAcentral.